AAUUUUGGACAAGGGGGGAAACCCUGACCCAGCCAUCGCGCGUGCAUGAUGAAGGCCAUCGUGUUGUUAAGUAUUUUUGGCAGAGUAGAAAAGGUAUCACCUAAUACGGGAUACCGCUGACGGUAGCCGCAGAAUAAGCACCGGCCAACUACGGGCCAGCCACCGCGGUAAUACGUAGGGUGCAAGCGUUAAUCGGAAUUACUGGGCGUAAAGCGUGUGUAGGCGGUUCGGAAAGAAAGAUGUGAAAUCCCAGGGCUCAACCUUGGAACUGCAUUUUUAACUGCCGAGCUAGAGUAUGUCAGAGGGGGGUAGAAUUCCACGUGUAGCAGUGAAAUGCGUAGAUAUGUGGAGGAAUACCGAUGGCGAAGGCAGCCCCCUGGGAUAAUACUGACGCUCAGACACGAAAGCGUGGGGAGCAAACAGG
Molecule: ribosomal RNA, 424 nt
Filed under: uncultured bacterium
Lineage: Bacteria
Description: partial 16S ribosomal RNA
Rfam family: Bacterial small subunit ribosomal RNA
Source: RNAcentral